RNAcentral lists this ribosomal RNA (423 nucleotides) under uncultured delta proteobacterium. RNAcentral's name for it is "bacterial SSU rRNA". It matches the Rfam family "Bacterial small subunit ribosomal RNA", at positions 958 to 1385 of the family's 1533-position model. The record is from RNAcentral. RNAcentral also lists the same sequence under 1 other name. Lineage: Bacteria; Deltaproteobacteria.
AACGCGAAGAACCUUACCGGGGCUUGACAUCGGAGGACAACUCUAGAAAUAGAGCUUAGGGGCAACCCUACUUCCAGACAGGUGCUGCAUGGCUGUCGUCAGCUCGUGCCGUGAGGUGUUGGGUUAAGUCCCGCAACGAGCGCAACCCUCGUCGUGUGUUGGUCCACAAGAUCUCUCACACGAGACCGCCGAUGAGAAGUCGGAGGAAGGUGGGGAUGACGUCAAGUCAGCAUGGCCCUUACGUCCCGGGCUACACACGUGCUACAAUGCGCCGAACAACGAGCUGCGAACCCGCGAGGGUAAGCCAAUCUCUUAAAUCGGCGCUCAGUUCGGAUUGAAGGCUGCAACUCGCCUUCAUGAAGUCGGAAUCGCUAGUAAACGCAGAUCAGCUACGCUGCGUUGAAUACGUUCCCGGGCCUUGUA